Antechinus flavipes (yellow-footed antechinus) is the source of this 4597-nucleotide long non-coding RNA. RefSeq lists it as uncharacterized. Lineage: Eukaryota; Metazoa; Chordata; Mammalia; Dasyuromorphia; Dasyuridae. The record is from RefSeq and is a predicted model, not a curated record. The transcript is spliced from 2 exons.
UAUAUAUAUACACACACACACACAUACACACAUAUGUAUGUAUGUAUAUAUGUAUACCCACAUACAUAACUUGUGAAAUUAAGUUUGAAUCCCAUUAUGACAAUGUGAAAUGACAAUUCUAUUACAAAGUCUAUACAUACACUUAUUUAUUGUCCAGAGAACUAAAAGUGUUGGAAUUUCAAAUCCAAGGCAGAAAAGUUAUUUAACUCUGAUCUUCUGUGGCAAUACUUAAUUUUAGCAUGGUAAAAUCACAGGAUCACAAAUUUAGGACUAGAAUUGGCCUUAGAUAAGUCAUCUAGUUCAAUCCCUUAUUUUACAGUGGAAAACACUGAGGCUAAGGAGCUAAAUGGCCUGUUCACAGAUGUACAGAAAAUAACAAAAUGGUUGAGCACACAUCUUCCUACUUACUCAGAUCCAAUAUUCUUUGUACCAUAUUGCCUUACCUCUAAUCCAACCUCCUUAAGAGUCAUUGACUCUCUAAAUGACUUGACCAGUAAAGGGAUCAGAAUGAUUUUUAUAUGUAAAUUAUAAAUGUAAGUCAUAUGCCACUUCUAAGUUACAAUUGCUCAGUUACUGGCUCUGGCUGCAUCAAAUGUGUUCCUUAAUCCUUUCAGUCCUGUCUGACCCUUCUUGACCUCAUUUGGGAUUUUCUUGGUAAAGAUAUUAAAGCUGUUCACCAUUUUCUUUUUCAGUUCAUUUUGUAGAUCAGGCAACUGAGGCAAUCAAGGCUAAGUUAAUUUCCCAGGAUCACACAGCUAAUUUUAAGUGCAAUAUGAACUCAGGAAAUGAUUUUUCUGAGUUCAGACCUGAUGCUCUCUCCAUUGUACCACACAGUUACUCCUGCAUCAAGUUAAGUUAAUCCAAUAGACAUUUGUUAGUAGCAUCCUUCUUUUUCUCUUUGCAGGCUUUAAUAACCCAACCUUCCCUAUACAUUGAGAAAUUCAUUACAUUCAGAGGGAAAAUUUAGAAAGGCAAGAAGGCCCAUGUUGAAAACACUUGCAUCAAGUACAUAAAAGGACAAGGGUUCUGUAAAUGCUGCUCAUGAAAUUAUGCACAGAAAGGAUAGGUAAGUUUUGUAUAAUAAUUCUAUAUAUAUAUAUAUAUGUGAAGAAACUUGAAUUCUAAAUCUUAUGCUGAUUUGCAUUCCAAAAUAGUACAUAUUGAAGAUUUUUAUAUACUUCAACUGUGUGUGUGUUAUGUGUGUAAAGCCUUUAUCUUCUUAACUAUAGGCGAGAGCCCAAGUUUUCUUAGUUUCCAUGGCCAAAUCAUUGGUAAAAGAUAAGAAAACAUUUUUCUCUGGCAGCUACAUGCAAAAAAAGAGAUGGUGACAGCAUAUGAUAAAGAGGCUACCAAAUUCUAUUUUUUCUAUAUAUUUUGCUGUUGUAGGAAUAGAAAUUUUAAAUGGCAUUUCCAAACAAAGUGAAGAAGCAACACAAUAAAAGAUUAUUCACAAUCAAAUAUGUAGAUUUAGGGUUGUACACUAAAGAAAAAUAUGAAUUUAAUUUCAGGGACUUUCAAUUAAAAUUCUUCUUUUCCCUUUUGGUACAGGUCUGAAAUCUAGGAUAUUGUUUUUUGUUUGUUUGUUUGUUUGUUUGUUUUUAUGAUUUAACUAGUGGAUUAACAUCUGAUAAAUGGCCAAGGGAAGUAAAAUAUUGAACUAAAUAUAAGAAGAACAUAUAAUUUAUUAAUGUAGUAGUCAGAAUAGUUCCCUACUAUUUUAAAGUGCAAAAGAAUCAAUGCAUAAAGAUAAUAUCCAAAGAAUGAAGGAAAAUAACAACCAUAAGAAAUACUAUAUUUAGGAAAGACUUACAUGUACUAGUGCUGAAUGAAGUUAAUAAAGCCAAGAAAACAACAUAUACAAUGAUUAUAACAACAUAACAAUCAUAAAACAAUUAAAAGGCAAUCUUGCAAAAUCAUGAAAAAUAAACCUGACUUCAUAGAAAAGAAAUGAGAAAAUAUAGGUGAUCCAUGGUUAUGGAACAUUGCAUAUAUUUUCACACACAUAUAUAUAAUUUAAAUUUAAUAAUAUAUUUUGCCAAUUUUUUUUCUCAUUCUUACUUUUUAUUCCUUAUUGUGGGAAAUGUCUCUCUGAAAAGUGGGAAGAGGGAGGAAUAUACAGGAAAAUUUAGAUGAUGUAGAAAAAAAGUUAUUAAUAAAAUAUAUUUUCAAAAGAAAAAUAAAUAAAUACCUUACUUUACUAUUUUAGCUCUUCUUAGCACUAAGGGAUAUUUGGUAAAAAGAAAAAGUUAUCCUCUCUGAUAUUAAUCUCAAAAGGUCAAGUUGGGAUAAUAAAGACUAUCUAUGUCUGUGAAGAAAUAAAAUGAUUGAUUUCAGAAAUUAUUGUGAUUCAAUCAUUAAAGCAAAAAUUUAGAACCUACCCUAUACCUCUUGAUUUAUGUAAUUAUAGGAAUUAAAAUUGGAAAGGACCUUAGUGAUUACCUAGUCCUCUCAUUUUAGAGAAAAGGGAAUUGAAACCUGGAGAAAAUAAGCAACCUGUCUUAAGUUAUAUAAGUAAUAAGUAUCAGGGAUGGGAUUUAGCAGCCAAUUAUUUUGAUUCCAAAUCCAAGGUUCUUUCCACUGUGCCACAAACUUCACUUGUAGUAGCUUACCUUAUUCUUCUUGCCUUAUUCUUUCCAACUACAUGGUGUUUCACCCAUGGAAAUUCUACCCACUUACUCUGACAUACAUCAUCAGUUAUGUUGGGAGGUCAAGAGCUAGGUUACUUGCUCUCUCAUCUAAGUAGUAAUAAAACAAUCGUAAUGACAGGAUUAAUUCCUGGGGAAGGCUGACCUCUAAUUAUGGGGUGUAUGUUCUCCAGUUUCAGACUCAUUGGCUUGAUAACAACCCCUCACAGAUGAUGGUAAAUGCAAUUUGAGAUAUGGCUCCUGUCUGAGUCUUCCCAAGAAGAAAGCAAAAGAGGUAUUCAAUGUACAAAAUGAAUCAGGAGACAUGAAGAACUCUCUUAAUAAGCACAGUGGAACUGUAGGACUCACUGAAGGGUAAGCCACUCCCUAAAGUUUUUAAAAGGUAUAAACAAGUUCCAAGGAGUCAUCCCCAACAGUCGAAAGGAGGGCCAGCUAUAAGCAAAGAACUCAAAAAUUGGGGUAAUCUUCUCCCCUUUACCCUUCUCCUCCAUUUUGUAUCUCACCCACCCAUAUAUUGGCAAUGACAACUUGCUAUAGAGCAACUUGUUUCAUAUGAAAAGCAAGUCCUAUUGAAGAGCAGGUCCAAGACAGCCCAGCUGUGGAGUCAAACUGAGGGUCUAAGAGGAAUAGGUCGGGGAAGUUCUACAAAGUAACCUUCCUGUGGUAAAGCAGUGUCAAGUGGAAGCAACAGAAGGAUAUCAAAAGAUACCAAACAGAUUCAUGCAGUGCUACUUUGACCGCCUUCAGCUACAUGGGUUUCCUAGGUGUGUGUCUCCAUCAAUAUAUGCCAAUUCUUUCUGCUGUUACAUUCAUUCGUGGAAGAAUGCUGCCCAAGGUUGUGGUGAGAUUUUGUAACCAUUGUUCAUACUACGUUUUUCAAAAAGAGUUUUUACUUUUAGCUAAUGCCAACUGGUUGAAUAUUAAGACACUAGUGAGAUCUCAUGAGCUGGAGUUAAUUAUCAAUCACAAAGAACCCUGAAUGCAGGAUAGGUGUGCUCUGAGGGCCCAACAAACCAAUUGCAAUUUAAAGGGCAGCUCAGAGGAGGAUUUACAAAACGUAAUUUAGCGGGGAUCACUAGUAGUUAGGGGGAUUAGAAAAGGCUUCCUGUAGUAGGUGGCACUUUAAAUGAUCCUUGAAAGAGACAAAGAAUUCUAAGAAGCAGAGGCAAAGAAAAAAACCAUUCUAGUCACAGGGACAUUCAGUGCAAAGGCUUGGAGAAGAAAUGGAGGUGGUAUGUGAGGAUGAGAGGAAGUAAACAAAACUACUAUGUGCCUGACAUUGACAAAAAGAUCUUGCAGGCAGGUGCUAACAUUAUCCUCAUUUUAUGGUUGGAGAAACAGAGGCAAAAGUCAAGUCUCAAGUUACUUGCCCAGAUUUAUAAGUGUCUGAAUUCCAGGUAUCUAGGGAAAGGAAAAAGAAAAAGGCCAGUUUGGUUGGGAUAGAAAGUAUGCAAAAAAGAAUAAUAUGAAUUAAGUUAAAGAAGUAGGCUGAAAAGAAUUGGAAAAUGAGUAGAUGCCCAUAAGUUGGGGAAUGGCUGAAUAAAUUGUGGUACAUGAAGGUAAUGGAAUAUUAUUGUUCUAUAAAAAAUGGUGAACAAGCUGAUUUUGGAAGGGCCUGAAAAGAUUUACACAAACUGAUGCUAAGUGAAACAAGCAGAAUCAGGAACACAUACAGCAAGAAUGUGCCAUGAUCAACUAUGAAAGCCUUCGUUCUUUUCAGUGUUCAGUUUUCCAAAGUGAUCCCAACAGACUUUGGAAAGAAAAUUCCACCUGCAUCCAGAAAAAGAACUAUGGAGAUUGAAUGUAAAUCAACACCUGCUAUGUUUCACUUCUUUAUUCUGUUUUUUUCCCUCUCCCAUGGUUUUUCCUUUUUGCUCUGAUUUUUCUCUCCCAACAUAAUUCAUAAAGCAAUGUGUAUUAAAAAUAAAUAAAUUGAUGAGUGCAAAAAAAAA